GACAGAGGGUGCAAACGUUGCUCGGAAUCACUGGGCGUAAAGGGCGUGUAGGCGGGACAGUAAGUCGGGCGUGAAAUCCCUGGGCUCAACCCAGGAACUGCACUCGAAACUACUAUUCUUGAGUGUCGGAGAGGAAAGCGGAAUUCCUGGUGUAGAGGUGAAAUUCGUAGAUAUCAGGAGGAACACCAGUGGCGAAGGCGGCUUCUGGACGAUAACGUGACGCUGAGACGCGAAAGCGUUGGGA
RNAcentral lists this ribosomal RNA (244 nucleotides) under uncultured bacterium. RNAcentral describes it as "partial 16S ribosomal RNA". It matches the Rfam family "Bacterial small subunit ribosomal RNA", at positions 524 to 767 of the family's 1533-position model. The record is from RNAcentral.